GUUUAUACGAUGUGCCUCGUAGUGACUAGCUAUGCAUCACAGUGACCAGCAGUUUCUAAGAGACAGAAACAACAGCAACUGGAACAGAAACUAUCAUUACCGCAGCAACUAAGAAACUAAAGUAUACUGGUGGGGCAGCACUUUCUGCUACAACUCGACUUGUCUCAGUUAAUCAGACUUUAUUUUAAAACCAUUUUCCUCUUGUCUGCUCAGGUCUCCUGUUUAUGCACAGCUUACUGUCCUAUAGCUCUUUCUCUCUCUGCUUCUGCUCUCCCAUUCCCUGGUUUCCUUUGCAAGGUUUUCAUAGUCAAAUUCCCUCACAGAAAGGGUAUGAAUGAUUUUCCCAAUUAUUAAAUGCAAAUCUCUUUCUGGGCGGUUUUUCUGUUCAGCCACUUCUGAGUUUCGUGUCCAACUUGUGCAUUCACUAUUCCUUUGUGCCAGCAGUUCACUAUAUUGGGGGUGGUGGAAAAAAAUACUAAAUACUCUUAGACAUGGUCCCCCUUCAACUUGCUUGUGAAGAAGCUUGUGGAUCACUGCAUUAUCUUGCUGUUUCUUCUAGUUUUCAGGUUGCUAGUGAUUUGGGUUAAGGUCAUAGUCCAUAAGAAAACAGAAAGGACAGAAGCCAAGCUUUUUAGCUUACCUAAUGAGGAGAGAAGAACUAAAAUACUCCUUAGGGAUCAUCACCUCAAAGAGAAGGUUUGUGAACGCUGCCAUUACACAGAGCUAGAUCACCCUUCCUGGAUGAAACGGUAUGGCCUUCAGACAUGCUGCUUUCUCCUUGGCUUCUUUCCCUGCGUCAUGGAGUGGCCUUGCCUUGAGAAAUGCUGCUCCUCGUUACCCAUGAAAACAGCCAAGCUGCACUUAGUAAAUGCCAAUCUGAGUAUUUUCACCUAUUGCGGGGGCCUCUGGAACAUAACUCCCAUGACAGGUGAGGGAUCACUGCAGUUCAUGAUGCCAAAUAUCACAUGAUCUCAACUGAACCAGUGGCUCUUUUCUCUCUCUGCCUCUCCCCGUCGCCCUUCUUUUCUGUCUCCCUCUCUCCUCCUCUCUCUGCGGGAUUGUGGUUGAUUGUCUCCCAACAAGAGGUUAUGGAGGAGACCUCAUCUGCAGAGGAGGAGGAGAAAAAGGUAGUGGAAAUCCCUCACAUCAAAUGAGAAUAGGAAGAAAUGUAAAAUGUGGGAGACACUGUAAAAUUUUGUGGAAAAUCACUACCAG
This 1215-nucleotide long non-coding RNA is filed under the name Chinchilla lanigera (long-tailed chinchilla). RNAcentral describes it as "lncRNA (ENSCLAG00000026341.1)". Lineage: Eukaryota; Metazoa; Chordata; Mammalia; Rodentia; Chinchillidae. The record is from RNAcentral.